RNAcentral lists this ribosomal RNA (483 nucleotides) under uncultured bacterium. RNAcentral's name for it is "partial 16S ribosomal RNA". It matches the Rfam family "Bacterial small subunit ribosomal RNA", at positions 28 to 507 of the family's 1533-position model. The record is from RNAcentral.
GACGAACGCUGGCGGCGUGCCUAACACAUGCAAGUCGAGCGGGGAUUUAAGUGGAAGUUCUUCGGAAUGGAGACUUAAAUUCUAGCGGCGGACGGGUGAGUAACGCGUGAACAAUCUGUCCCGGACAGGGGGAUAACACUUGGAAACAGGUGCUAAUACCGCAUAAGACCACGGCCUCGCAUGGGGCUGAGGUAAAAGGAGCAAUCCGGUUCGGGGUGAGUUCGCGUCCGAUUAGCUAGUUGGUGAGGUAACGGCCCACCAAGGCGACGAUCGGUAGCCGGCCUGAGAGGGUGAACGGCCACAUUGGAACUGAGAGACGGUCCAAACUCCUACGGGAGGCAGCAGUGGGGAAUAUUGGGCAAUGGGCGAAAGCCUGACCCAGCAACGCCGCGUGAGGGAAGAAGGUUUUCGGAUUGUAAACCUCUGUCCUAUGGGACGAAGGAAGUGACGGUACCAUAGGAGGAAGCCCCGGCUAACUACGUG